UGCCAGCCGCCGCGGUAAUACGGAGGGGGUUAGCGUUGUUCGGAAUUACUGGGCGUAAAGCGCACGUAGGCGGACUGGAAAGUUGGGGGUGAAAUCCCAGGGCUCAACCCUGGAACUGCCUCCAAAACUAUCAGUCUAGAGUUCGAGAGAGGUGAGUGGAAUUCCGAGUGUAGAGGUGAAAUUCGUAGAUAUUCGGAGGAACACCAGUGGCGAAGGCGGCUCACUGGGCAACAACUGACGCUGAGGUACGAAAGCGUGGGGAGCGAACAGGAUUAGAUA
This 279-nucleotide ribosomal RNA is filed under the name uncultured bacterium. RNAcentral's name for it is "partial 16S ribosomal RNA". It matches the Rfam family "Bacterial small subunit ribosomal RNA", at positions 506 to 784 of the family's 1533-position model. The record is from RNAcentral.